This 1555-nucleotide ribosomal RNA is filed under the name Candidatus Omnitrophota bacterium. Its description in RNAcentral is "bacterial SSU rRNA". It matches the Rfam family "Bacterial small subunit ribosomal RNA". Lineage: Bacteria; Pseudomonadati; Candidatus Omnitrophota. The record is from RNAcentral.
UUUUUUGAGGGUUUGAUCUUAGCUCAGGAUUAACGCUGGCGGUGUGCCUAACACAUGCAAGUCGAGCGACGAACCGGGGAAAUUUUACUUUACCGUAGAAUUUUCCGGGGGAAAGCGGCGAAUGGGUGAGUAACACCUGGGUAAUCUACCUUUUGAACCAGUAUAAUUCGUCGAAAGACGGACUAAUACCGGAUAUACUCGGAAAAAUAAUUUUUUUCUGAGAAAAGGUGUAUUUUCAAAAAAUAUAUCGUCAAAAGAUGAGCCUGGGUCCUAUUAGCUAGUUGGUAAGGUAAUGGCUUACCAAGGCUAUGAUAGGUAGCUGGUCUGAGAGGACGGUCAGCCACAUGGGGAUUGAGAAACAGCCCCAACUCCUACGGGAGGCAGCAGUGAGGAAUCUUGGACAAUGCCCGAAAGGGUGAUCCAGCGACACCGCGUGGGUGAUGAAAGCUUUCGAGUUUUAAAACCCUGUCAAGUGGGAAGAAUGUCUGAUUUAUCAGACGUGACGGUACCACUGAAGGAAGCUCCGGCUAAUCCCGUGCCAGCAGCCGCGGUAAGACGGGAGGGGCAAGCGUUAUCCGGAUUUAUUGGGUGUAAAGGGUUCGUAAGUGGUCAGGUAAGUCAAAUCUUAAAUAUUUCAGCUUAACUGAAAAACCGGUUUGAAACUACCUGACUAGAGUGCGAAGGAGGGAAGUGGAACUGCCGGUGUAGCGGUGAAAUGCGUAGAUAUCGGCAGGAACACCAAUUGCAAAGGCAACUUUCUAUUUCGAUACUGACACUGAGGAACGAAAGCAUGGGGAGCAAUCGGGAUUAGAUACCCCGGUAGUCCAUGCCGUAAACGAUGGGUGCUAGGUGUGGGUCCGGUUUUCGGAUCCGUGCCGAAGCUAACGCGUUAAGCACCUCACCUGGGAACUACGACCGCAAGGUUGAAACCCAAAAGAAUUGACGGGGGCCCGCACAACCAGUGGAGCAUGUGGUUCAAUUCGAUGGUACGCGAGGAACCUUACCUGGGCUUGACAUGUUGGUAGUACUAACCCGAAAGGGAAGGGAAUCUGAUUUUAUCAGAUAGCCAAUACAGGUGGUGCAUGGCUGUCGUCAGCUCGUGUCGUGAGAUGUUGGGUUAAGUCCCGUAACGAGCGCAACCCUUGCCUGCAGUUACUCGUGCAAACAGCACUCUGCAGGGACUGCCGUGGUUAACACGGAGGAAGGUGGGGAUGAUGUCAAGUCAUCACGCCCCUUAUGUCCAGGGCUACACACGUGCUACAAUGGUUGGUACAAAGGGAAGCUAAACCGCAAGGUGGCGCAAACCUCAAAAAACCAACCCCAGUUCGGACUGCAGGCUGCAAUUCGCCUGCAUGAAGUUGGAAUUGGUAGUAAUCGCGGAUCAGCGAUGCCGCGGUGAAUACGUUCUCGGGCCUUGUACACACCGCCCGUCACGCCAGCUGAAUCGAGAGUGCCUGAAGUCCCCAUUUAUUUGGAGCCCAGGGCAAAUUCGGUAAGGAGGGCGAAGUCGUAACAAGGCAGCCGUACCGGAAGGUGCGGCUGGAUCACCUCCUUU